CCAGUUGCUCAUCGUAUUCACCUAUAUUCAUAGACUUUAGCACAAUUCAAAUCAUAUGAUUGACAAGUCUCUCCCUUCAUAAAAGUAGCAAUGCGACAAGCAAAGGAAUUCACCAACAACUUAUCAAUCAUGAUUCAAGGCGUACGAUACGAGCCUUAAGAAAUAGAUAAGGACUGGGACUGGAGAAUUCCUAUCCCCAUUCUGAAUAUAUUU
RNAcentral lists this long non-coding RNA (213 nucleotides) under Lathyrus oleraceus (garden pea). RNAcentral describes it as "Pisum sativum (pea) long non-coding RNA (PSAT_LNC014639)". The record is from RNAcentral. Lineage: Eukaryota; Viridiplantae; Streptophyta; Magnoliopsida; Fabales; Fabaceae.